Molecule: transfer RNA, 64 nt
Organism: Cavia porcellus (domestic guinea pig)
Lineage: Eukaryota; Metazoa; Chordata; Mammalia; Rodentia; Caviidae
Rfam family: tRNA
About the family: Transfer RNA (tRNA) molecules are approximately 80 nucleotides in length. Their secondary structure includes four short double-helical elements and three loops (D, anti-codon, and T loops). Further hydrogen bonds mediate the characteristic L-shaped molecular structure. tRNAs have two regions of fundamental functional importance: the anti-codon, which is responsible for specific mRNA codon recognition, and the 3' end, to which the tRNAs corresponding amino acid is attached (by aminoacyl-tRNA synthetases). tRNAs cope with the degeneracy of the genetic code in two manners: having more than one tRNA (with a specific anti-codon) for a particular amino acid; and 'wobble' base-pairing, i.e. permitting non-standard base-pairing at the 3rd anti-codon position.
Source: Rfam
GGGGAUUUAGCUCAGUGGCAUAAGCACCUGCCUUGCAAGCAGGCAGUCGUGCGUUCAAUCCCUG